RNAcentral lists this ribosomal RNA (253 nucleotides) under uncultured bacterium. RNAcentral's name for it is "partial 16S ribosomal RNA". It matches the Rfam family "Bacterial small subunit ribosomal RNA", at positions 524 to 776 of the family's 1533-position model. The record is from RNAcentral.
UACAGAGGGGGCAAGCGUUAUUCGGAAUUAUUGGGCGUAGAGGGCGCGUAGGCGGCUUGGCAAGUGGAAGGUGAAAUCCCUCGGCUUAACCGAGGAACUGCCCUCCAAACUGCUUCGCUUGAGACCGGGAGAGGUGAGUGGAAUUCCCAGUGUAGCGGUGAAAUGCGUAGAUAUUGGGAGGAACACCAGUGGCGAAGGCGGCUCACUGGACCGGUACUGACGCUGAUGCGCGAAAGCGUGGGGAGCAAACGGG